RNAcentral lists this ribosomal RNA (253 nucleotides) under uncultured bacterium. RNAcentral's name for it is "partial 16S ribosomal RNA". It matches the Rfam family "Bacterial small subunit ribosomal RNA", at positions 524 to 776 of the family's 1533-position model. The record is from RNAcentral.
UACGUAGGGUGCAAGCGUUAAUCGGAAUUACUGGGCGUAAAGCGUGCGCAGGCGGUGAUGUAAGACAGGUGUAAAAUCCCCGGGCUUAACCUGGGAACUGCAUUUGUGACUGCAUCGCUGGAGUGCGGCAGAGGGGGAUGGAAUUCCGCGUGUAGCAGUGAAAUGCGUAGAUAUGCGGAGGAACACCGAUGGCGAAGGCAAUCCCCUGGGCCUGCACUGACGCUCAUGCACGAAAGCGUGGGGAGCAAACAGG